GGAUGAACGCUGGCGGUAUGCUUAACACAUGCAAGUCGAACGGACUCUUCGGAGUUAGUGGCGGACGGGUGAGUAACGCGUGAGAAUCUGGCUUUGGGUUCGGGACAACCACUGGAAACGGUGGCUAAUACCGGAUGUGCCGAGAGGUAAAAGAGAAAUUGCCUGAAGAUGAGCUCGCGUCUGAUUAGCUAGUUGGUGAGGUAAAGGCUCACCAAGGCAGCGAUCAGUAGCUGGUCUGAGAGGAUGACCAGCCACACUGGGACUGAGACACGGCCCAGACUCCUACGGGAGGCAGCAGUGGGGAAUUUUCCGCAAUGGGCGAAAGCCUGACGGAGCAAUACCGCGUGAGGGAAGAAGGCUCUUGGGUUGUAAACCUCUUUUCUUAGGGAAGAACAAAAUGACGGUACCUAAGGAAUCAGCAUCGGCUAACUCCGUG
RNAcentral lists this ribosomal RNA (436 nucleotides) under uncultured bacterium. Its description in RNAcentral is "partial 16S ribosomal RNA". It matches the Rfam family "Bacterial small subunit ribosomal RNA", at positions 27 to 507 of the family's 1533-position model. The record is from RNAcentral.